UACGUAGGCAGCGAGCGUUGUUCGGAAUUACUGGGCGUAAAGAGUGUGUAGGCGGUGCUCUAAGUUCGGUGUGAAAUCUCCUGGCUCAACUGGGAGGGUGCGCCGGAAACUGGAGUGCUUGAGCGUGGGAGAGGAAAGCGGAAUUCCUGGUGUAGCGGUGAAAUGCGUAGAUAUCAGGAGGAACACCUGUGGUGUAGACGGCUUUCUGGACCAUAGCUGACGCUGAGACACGAAAACGUGGGUAGCAAACAGG
RNAcentral lists this ribosomal RNA (253 nucleotides) under uncultured bacterium. Its description in RNAcentral is "partial 16S ribosomal RNA". It matches the Rfam family "Bacterial small subunit ribosomal RNA", at positions 524 to 776 of the family's 1533-position model. The record is from RNAcentral.